GAAAUAGUCCACAUUAAUAAAACCCUUAGCUGGGAUGUCUAUGACUUUCAAGCUAUUUUUGAAUUUUUGACAAGUGUUGUGUUUUGGGGCUUGUUCAGCAGAUUCCUUCUGAGUUUGAUUUGAUCUUUUGGGUUCUACAGUAGGAUAUGACUGCAGUGCAUCCAAAGAGUAACUGAAGCUUCACAGUGUUGAAGUCCACAUGACAGCUUUAGCAGAUUCACAUUCUCUAAUAAUAUACACCUAAGACGACAAGAAGACAGAACUACUAACAGGUCUAUUGGGUGCUUUUCUGAAUUACACCCGACCACUGAUUUCGUAUUAAAAUGUAUCAACUGUCAAACCAUUGGAUGUGAAAAAACAUUUGACUUGAUAAGGAUUCAGAUGAACUACAGAAAUUAGAUUAGUUGGUUCUCUUCUUGAAGCUCUUUAUUCUUUGAAGAAGAAAACAGUAUGAAGGAUAGAAGAAGUAUCUGGCAGAAAAAGAGUAAGGGAUUCCUGGGAAAAAUUACAUUGCAGAUUUUUCUGUGAGGCAGAUGUGGAAAAAAAAC
RNAcentral lists this long non-coding RNA (548 nucleotides) under Anas platyrhynchos platyrhynchos (common mallard). Its description in RNAcentral is "lncRNA (ENSAPLG00000024310.1)". The record is from RNAcentral. Lineage: Eukaryota; Metazoa; Chordata; Aves; Anseriformes; Anatidae.